AAAAGACCUAGCAAUAGGUAUGCUUAGGGAGGAGCUUGCGUCACAUUAGUUAGUUGGUGGGGUAAAGGCCUACCAAGACUAUGAUGUGUAGCCGGGCUGAGAGGUUGAACGGCCACAUUGGGACUGAGACACGGCCCAAACUCCUACGGGAGGCAGCAGUAGGGAAUUUUCGGCAAUGGAGGAAACUCUGACCGAGCAACGCCGCGUGAACGAUGAAGUAUUUCGGUACGUAAAGUUCUUUUAUUAGGGAAGGAAUAAAUGAUGGAAAAAUCAUUCCUGACGGUACCUAAUGAAUAAGCCCCGGCUAACUAUGUGCCAGCAGCCGCGGUAAUACAUAGGGGGCAAGCGUUAUCCGGAAUUAUUGGGCGUAAAGGGUGCGUAGGCGGUUAAAUAAGUUUAUGGUCUAAGUGCAAUGCUCAACAUUGUGAUGCUAUAAAAACUGUUUAGCUAGAGUAAGAUAGAGGCAAGCGGAAUUCCAUGUGUAGUGGUAAAAUGCGUAAAUAUAUGGAGGAACACCAGUAGCGAAGGCGGCUUGCUGGGUCUUUACUGACGCUGAGGCACGAAAGCGUGGGGAGCAAACAGGAUUAGAUACCCUGGUAGUCCACGCCGUAAACGAUGAGUACUAAACGUUGGGUAAAACCAGUGUUGAAGUUAACACAUUAAGUACUCCGCCUGAGUAGUACGUACGCAAGUAUGAAACUUAAAGGAAUUGACGGGACUCCGCACAAGCGGUGGAUCAUGUUGUUUAAUUCGAAGGUACCCGAAAAACCUCACCAGGUCUUGACAUGCUUCUGCAAAGCUGUAGAAACACAGUGGAGGUUAUCAGUUGCACAGGUGGUGCAUGGUUGUCGUCAGCUCGUGUCGUGAGAUGUUGGGUUAAGUCCCGCAACGAGCGCAACCCUUAUUGUUAGUUACCAGCACGUAAUGGUGGGGACUUUAGCAAGACUGCCAGUGAUAAAUUGGAGGAAGGUGGGGACGACGUCAAAUCAUCAUGCCCCUUAUGACCUGGGCUACAAACGUGAUACAAUGGCUGUUACAAAGGGUAGCUGAAGCGCAAGUUUUUGGCGAAUCUCAAAAAAACAGUCUCAGUUCGGAUUGAAGUCUGCAACUCGACUUCAUGAAGUUGGAAUCGCUAGUAAUCGCGAAUCCAGCAUGUC
RNAcentral lists this ribosomal RNA (1157 nucleotides) under 'Rubus fruticosus' phytoplasma. RNAcentral describes it as "bacterial SSU rRNA". It matches the Rfam family "Bacterial small subunit ribosomal RNA", at positions 202 to 1358 of the family's 1533-position model. The record is from RNAcentral. Lineage: Bacteria; Bacillati; Mycoplasmatota; Mollicutes; Acholeplasmatales; Acholeplasmataceae.